GAUGAAGAACGCAGCGAAUUGCGAUAAGUAAUGUGAAUUGCAGAUUUUCAGUGAAUCAUCGAAUCUUUGAACGCACCUUGCACCCUUUGGCAUUCCGAAGGGUAUGCUCGUUUGAGUGUCAUUGUACUCUCACACUUCCGAUCUUUGGAUUGGGAGCGGUGGACUUGGGUGUUGCUGCUUACUGUGGCUCACCUCAAAUCGAUUCGUGCACCUCUUGGUUGGACAUAGUACGGCGUGAUAAGUGUCUUCGCCGGCACCUCAGUAGAGGGUGGCUGAUCGGGAGCUCUGCUUCAAACCGUCCUCGGACAACAACUGACAACUUGACCUCAAAUCGAGUAGGACUACCCGCUGAACUUAAGCAUAUCAAUAAGCGGAGGA
Molecule: unclassified non-coding RNA, 378 nt
Filed under: soil metagenome
Description: partial contains 5.8S ribosomal RNA, internal transcribed spacer 2, and large subunit ribosomal RNA
Rfam family: 5.8S ribosomal RNA (bases 1-121)
Source: RNAcentral